CUGCUUUGAGGACAAAUAGAAUAAGGGCUUCAUGUUC
This is a non-coding RNA of Fukomys damarensis (Damara mole-rat), 37 nucleotides long. Lineage: Eukaryota; Metazoa; Chordata; Mammalia; Rodentia; Bathyergidae. The record is from Rfam.